Pelobates cultripes (western spadefoot toad) is the source of this 729-nucleotide non-coding RNA. NCBI's taxonomy places the organism in Eukaryota, Metazoa, Chordata, Amphibia, Anura, Pelobatidae. The record is from the annotation of a GenBank genome assembly.
AGUCCAUAUAGUGAAUGAUCCCCAAUAUUCUCCCUCUUUCUUUGCUGCUCCAGUAGAGAUAAGUAUCAUAUAUAUUCACUUAUGCUACUGUUUUCUAAACAUACCUUCUAGUUUGAUUAUAUGUUUGACAUAUGAAUUUAUUCACUGGAAUAUAUGCUUUUUUGAAGUAAUUCUAUGUUUCUUAUAGUUUUUUGUCUUUAAACUGUUCAGUCAUUUCGGCAGUUUCUACACGAACCGUUGCACGCGCGUUUUCUGUCAGUUAGUCCAUUAUACAUUGAUGAUGUUUAUGGGCGGGAAUACCAGUUAGUUGGUCCUCAGCUAACUUUCCAGCCAACUUUACCUCAGGACAGCACUUUCCUCACAACUUGUUACUCUCUAAUGGUAAUUAUUAUAAUUUGAACUAUUUGAAUUACUGUCAGUAUUUCCCCUCAUAACUGGCAACAUUUACUUACUAUUUAACUAUUCUACGAAGAGUAGAUACAAUUACUAUUUGUUGCAAUUUUGAAAUUAUGAACUCUAAGGAGAUCAGACAGAUUGAAUCACCAAAACCUGGUGUUUCUCAUGACUGUGAAAUCCUCACUGAGGAUUCUUUACAUAAUAUUGUGGAUUUAUCCGUUCAAAAGUCAGUUUCCUCUGCUAUUUAUACUGCAAUGUCCUCUAUGCAAGAGGCAAUUGCAAAGUCUGUGGCUCAAGCCAUAAAUAACUCAAAACCCAGUGAGAAGACUCAUU